RNAcentral lists this ribosomal RNA (881 nucleotides) under Ectopseudomonas mendocina. RNAcentral describes it as "bacterial SSU rRNA". It matches the Rfam family "Bacterial small subunit ribosomal RNA", at positions 55 to 932 of the family's 1533-position model. The record is from RNAcentral. Lineage: Bacteria; Pseudomonadati; Pseudomonadota; Gammaproteobacteria; Pseudomonadales; Pseudomonadaceae.
AUGCAGUCGAGCGGAUGAGAGGAGCUUGCUCCUUGAUUUAGCGGCGGACGGGUGAGUAAUGCCUAGGAAUCUGCCUGGUAGUGGGGGAUAACGUCCGGAAACGGGCGCUAAUACCGCAUACGUCCUACGGGAGAAAGCAGGGGACCUUCGGGCCUUGCGCUAUCAGAUGAGCCUAGGUCGGAUUAGCUAGUUGGUGAGGUAAUGGCUCACCAAGGCGACGAUCCGUAACUGGUCUGAGAGGAUGAUCAGUCACACUGGAACUGAGACACGGUCCAGACUCCUACGGGAGGCAGCAGUGGGGAAUAUUGGACAAUGGGCGAAAGCCUGAUCCAGCCAUGCCGCGUGUGUGAAGAAGGUCUUCGGAUUGUAAAGCACUUUAAGUUGGGAGGAAGGGCAUUAACCUAAUACGUUAGUGUUUUGACGUUACCGACAGAAUAAGCACCGGCUAACUUCGUGCCAGCAGCCGCGGUAAUACGAAGGGUGCAAGCGUUAAUCGGAAUUACUGGGCGUAAAGCGCGCGUAGGUGGUUCGUUAAGUUGGAUGUGAAAGCCCCGGGCUCAACCUGGGAACUGCAUCCAAAACUGGCGAGCUAGAGUACGGUAGAGGGUGGUGGAAUUUCCUGUGUAGCGGUGAAAUGCGUAGAUAUAGGAAGGAACACCAGUGGCGAAGGCGACCACCUGGACUGAUACUGACACUGAGGUGCGAAAGCGUGGGGAGCAAACAGGAUUAGAUACCCUGGUAGUCCACGCCGUAAACGAUGUCAACUAGCCGUUGGGUUCCUUGAGAACUUAGUGGCGCAGCUAACGCAUUAAGUUGACCGCCUGGGGAGUACGGCCGCAAGGUUAAAACUCAAAUGAAUUGACGGGGGCCCGCACAAGCGG